RNAcentral lists this long non-coding RNA (1411 nucleotides) under Gossypium barbadense (sea-island cotton). RNAcentral describes it as "long non-coding RNA (GBAR_LNC007952)". Lineage: Eukaryota; Viridiplantae; Streptophyta; Magnoliopsida; Malvales; Malvaceae. The record is from RNAcentral.
AUAUUUUGAUAUUAAUAUUUUAAUUAUUAUUAUUCGACCACUAACAUUAUUGAUUUAUAAUAAUUUAACUAUUUUAUUUUAAUUUAAUUAUUUUAAGUGACCUAUUAUAUGCUAACUUGAAUGCCAUGUUUUUUUUUUUUAACUUUUUAUUGUAGGCCUCACCACUUAUGUAUUUAUUUAUUUUCCUUUUUACCCUCAAUCUCACGUCCUACUCAUUUAUUUCUUUAUAUUUUUUCCUUUUUUUCUUUUCACUUUCUUUCGUUUUUUUCUACCUUUCCAUCUUCAUCUUCAUUAGCCUACCUACCAACCGCCACCGCAGCCGCCGCCGCCCUACUCCAAUGGCCUUUCCGACCGGAAAGAAGGACUAAAAUGAAGCAUGUCCCCUAGUUCUCCAUGAAACGGCCCCGAAUUCCACAAAUUUAAAUCCGAAGUUUGAAUGAGAAACCUCUUAAAUCUCCUAAAUCUGUUGUCCAAUCGACCCAAUAGGGAAGUAUGUUCUUCUCUCCCAUGUAACCUCUCAUUCCACCGUUUAGAUUUCGAAUACAUCACCUCUAAACUCGUUAACCGAGCUUGGCCGGAUCUGCGACUUGUUCUUUUCCUUCUCUUUUUGGUUUUGAUAUUUAAUUCUCUUUACUGCAUGGUUUAUUGGUGAUUUUCUAUUUGGGAUUUGGUAGAGAGGCUAGGUAGUGUCGACGAUGACGGGGGAAUAGGUAUGAGAGAGGGAUGGUGAGUGGGGACUUUGGGUGAGGUAAAGGUUCUAUUUGGGGAGGUGAGUUGUAGAAGUGUGGAAGCUAAGAGAGAAGAGAUGGUGAAGGUGCGAUGAUUCAGUGGUGAUGGGGGAGGCGGUGGCCAAUGGUGAGCUUGAUGGUGGUUGUAGGUUCUGGGUAUAGGGCUGAGAGUUGAGGGAGUAGGGAGGUUGAGGAGGGUGAAGAGAAGAGAGAGAAGAGCCAUUUGAUGGUGGGGCUUAGGUCGGUGCCGAGGACAACAUCUGAGUGGGCGAUGAAGACAGCUAUUUGUAGAAGUUAGGGUUUCGCCAAGGGAGAUGAGAAGGAAGGAAAAGAACAAAAAAGGAAAAAAAGUAGGGGAAAUGUUGAAAUAAAGAAAAAAAGGUUAAUUUUUUUUAAAAUAGGGUUAAAAUUAUGUGGUGCUGACAUGGCUUUUAAGUUGGCGUUUAACUGUUGACACAUUGUCACAUGUGAUUUUCUUUAGGCCUACUAAAUUGUUAAUUUAGAAAUUAUUAAUCACAUUAAUGAUCAAAAUAUAAAUUUAAAUAAAUAUAAUGGACUAUUUUUAUAAUUUAUUCAAAAAAAAAUUAAUCCAAGCUAAUAUAUUGGCUCACAUUAAGGCUCACUUGCACUUAGAAUUGUUUUCAGAACUGAAUUUUUCCUGCCUAUUUCUCCCACCACCGGCC